RNAcentral lists this ribosomal RNA (299 nucleotides) under uncultured bacterium. RNAcentral describes it as "partial 16S ribosomal RNA". It matches the Rfam family "Bacterial small subunit ribosomal RNA", at positions 333 to 646 of the family's 1533-position model. The record is from RNAcentral.
UUGUUCCUACGGGGGGCAGCAGUGGGGAAUAUUGGACAAUGGGGGGAACCCUGAUCCAGCGACGCCGCGUGAGUGAAGAAGUAUUUCGGUAUGUAAAGCUCUCUCAGCAGGGAAGAAAGAAAUGACGGUACCUGACUAAGAAGCCCCGGCUAACUACGUGCCAGCAGCCGCGGUAAUACGUAGGGGGCAAGCGUUAUCCGGAUUUACUGGGUGUAAAGGGAGCGUAGACGGCGAUGCAAGUCUGAAGUGAAAGGCGGGGGCCCAACCCCCGGACUUCUUUGGCAACUGGAUAGCUGGAG